RNAcentral lists this ribosomal RNA (488 nucleotides) under uncultured bacterium. RNAcentral's name for it is "bacterial SSU rRNA". It matches the Rfam family "Bacterial small subunit ribosomal RNA", at positions 58 to 521 of the family's 1533-position model. The record is from RNAcentral.
CAAGUCGAGCGAGAAAGUCCCCGCAAGGGGAUGAGUACAGCGGCGAACGGGUGAGUAACACGUGGGCAACCUGCCCCUCAGUCAGGAAUAACCCCGCGAAAGCGGGGCUAAUACCAGAUGACGUCCCCUGGGGGCAUCUCCGGGGGACCAAAGGGGGCGAGCGCAAGCGGCUCUCGCUGAGGGAUGGGCCUGCGGCUGAUUAGCUAGUUGGUGGGGUAACGGCCUACCAAGGCGACGAUCAGUAGCCGACCUGAGAGGGUGACCGGCCACACUGGGACUGAGACACGGCCCAGACUCCUACGGGAGGCAGCAGUGGGGAAUAUUGCGCAAUGGGCGAAAGCCUGACGCAGCGACGCCGCGUGGGUGAUGAAGGCCUUCGGGUCGUAAAACCCUGUCGGGUGGAACGAAUCCCCCGCGAGUGAAUAUCCCGCGGGGUUGACGGUACCACCGAAGGAAGCCCCGGCUAACUACGUGCCAGCAGCCGCGGU